This 659-nucleotide ribosomal RNA is filed under the name uncultured bacterium. RNAcentral's name for it is "bacterial SSU rRNA". It matches the Rfam family "Bacterial small subunit ribosomal RNA", at positions 49 to 686 of the family's 1533-position model. The record is from RNAcentral.
UAACACAUGCAAGUCGAGCGGCAGCGACAUAAAUAAUCCUUCGGGUGGGUUUAUGGGCGGCGAGCGGCGGACGGGUGAGUAAUGGCUGGGAAUAUGGCCUGGUGGGGGGGGAAAACCAUUGGAAACGAUGGCUAAUAACGGAUAAUCUCUUCGGAGCCAAGAGGGGGAACUUCGGGCCUCUCGCGUCAGGAUUAGCCCAGGUGAGAUUAGCUAGUUGGUGAGGUAAGAGCUCACCAAGGCGACGAUCUCUAGCUGGUCUGAGAGGAUGAUCAGCCACACUGGAACUGAGACACGGUCCAGACUCCUACGGGAGGCAGCAGUGGGGAAUAUUGCACAAUGGGGGAAACCCUGAUGCAGCCAUGCCGCGUGUGUGAAGAAGGCCUUCGGGUUGUAAAGCACUUUCAGUUGUGAGGAAGGCAUGUACGUUAAUAGCGUAUGUGUUUGACGUUAGCAACAGAAGAAGCACCGGCUAACUCCGUGCCAGCAGCCGCGGUAAUACGGAGGGUGCGAGCGUUAAUCGGAAUUACUGGGCGUAAAGCGCAUGCAGGCGGCUUGUUAAGCCAGAUGUGAAAGCCCGGGGCUCAACCUCGGAAUAGCAUUUGGAACUGGCAGGCUAGAGUCUUGUAGAGGGGGGUAGAAUUUCAGGUGUAGCGGUGAAA